Molecule: ribosomal RNA, 1402 nt
Filed under: Providencia rettgeri
Lineage: Bacteria; Pseudomonadati; Pseudomonadota; Gammaproteobacteria; Enterobacterales; Morganellaceae
Description: partial 23S ribosomal RNA
Rfam family: Bacterial large subunit ribosomal RNA
Source: RNAcentral
ACUACAUGCUGAGGUCCGAUGACGAGUCACUACGGUGAUGAAGUAGCUCAUGCCCCGCUUCCAGGAAAAGCCUCUAAGCUCUAGAUUAUCAUUAAUCGUACCCCAAACCGACACAGGUGGUCAGGUAGAGAAUACUCAGGCGCUUGAGAGAACUCGGGUGAAGGAACUAGGCAAAAUGGUGCCGUAACUUCGGGAGAAGGCACGCUGGCGCUAGGUGAAGUCCCUUGCGGAUGGAGCUGAAGCCAGUCGCAGAUACCAGCUGGCUGCAACUGUUUAUUAAAAACACAGCACUGUGCAAACACGAAAGUGGACGUAUACGGUGUGACGCCUGCCCGGUGCUGGAAGGUUAAUUGAUGGGGUUAUCCGUAAGGAGAAGCUCUUGAUCGAAGCCCCAGUAAACGGCGGCCGUAACUAUAACGGUCCUAAGGUAGCGAAAUUCCUUGUCGGGUAAGUUCCGACCUGCACGAAUGGCGUAAUGAUGGCCAGGCUGUCUCCACCCGAGACUCAGUGAAAUUGAACUCGCUGUGAAGAUGCAGUGUACCCGCGGCAAGACGGAAAGACCCCGUGAACCUUUACUAUAGCUUGACACUGAACAUUGAGCCUUGAUGUGUAGGAUAGGUGGGAGGCUUUGAAGUGUGGACGCCAGUCUGCAUGGAGCCAACCUUGAAAUACCACCCUUUAAUGUUUGAUGUUCUAACGUAGCCCCGUUAUCCGGGGUGCGGACAGUGUCUGGUGGGUAGUUUGACUGGGGCGGUCUCCUCCCAAAGAGUAACGGAGGAGCACGAAGGUUGGCUAAGCAUGGUCGGACAUCAUGCGGUUAGUGCAAAGGCAUAAGCCAGCUUGACUGCGAGAGUGACGGCUCGAGCAGGUACGAAAGUAGGUCUUAGUGAUCCGGUGGUUCUGAAUGGAAGGGCCAUCGCUCAACGGAUAAAAGGUACUCCGGGGAUAACAGGCUGAUACCGCCCAAGAGUUCAUAUCGACGGCGGUGUUUGGCACCUCGAUGUCGGCUCAUCACAUCCUGGGGCUGAAGUAGGUCCCAAGGGUACGGCUGUUCGCCGUUUAAAGUGGUACGCGAGCUGGGUUUAGAACGUCGUGAGACAGUUCGGUCCCUAUCUGCCGUGGGCGUUGGAAGAUUGAAAGGGGCUGCUCCUAGUACGAGAGGACCGGAGUGGACGCACCACUGGUGUUCGGGUUGUCAUGCCAAUGGCAUUGCCCGGUAGCUAAGUGCGGAAGAGAUAACCGCUGAAAGCAUCUAAGCGGGAAACUUGCCUUGAGAUGAGUCUUCCCUGACCCUUAAAGGGUCCUAAAGGAACGUUUAAGACUAAGACGUUGAUAGGUUGGGUGUGUAAGCGUAGCGAUACGUUGAGCUAACCAAUACUAAUGAACCGUGAGGCUUAACCUG